GACGAACGCUGGCGGCGUGCUUAACACAUGCAAGUCGAACGGAAAGGCCCUGCUUUUGUGGGGUGCUCGAGUGGCGAACGGGUGAGUAACACGUGAGUAACCUGCCCUUGACUUUGGGAUAACUUCAGGAAACUGGGGCUAAUACCGGAUAGGAGCUCCUGCUGCAUGGUGGGGGUUGGAAAGUUUCGGCGGUUGGGGAUGGACUCGCGGCUUAUCAGCUUGUUGGUGGGGUAGUGGCUUACCAAGGCUUUGACGGGUAGCCGGCCUGAGAGGGUGACCGGCCACAUUGGGACUGAGAUACGGCCCAGACUCCUACGGGAGGCAGCAGUGGGGAAUAGUGCACAAUGGGCGGAAGCCUGAUGCAGCAACGCCGCGUGCGGGAUGACGGCCUUCGGGUUGUAAACCGCUUUCGCCUGUGACGAAGCGGGAGUGACGGUAAUGGGUAAAGAAGCACCGGCUAACUACGUG
This 468-nucleotide ribosomal RNA is filed under the name uncultured bacterium. RNAcentral describes it as "partial 16S ribosomal RNA". It matches the Rfam family "Bacterial small subunit ribosomal RNA", at positions 28 to 507 of the family's 1533-position model. The record is from RNAcentral.